CUUAUCAAGAGUGACAGAGGGAACAGGCCCUGUGAAGUCCGGCAACCUGCUUUUGCAAGGUGCUAAAUCCUGCGGUAUUACCGAAAGAUGAG
This 92-nucleotide non-coding RNA is filed under the name uncultured Ruminococcus sp. RNAcentral's name for it is "SAM riboswitch (S box leader)". It matches the Rfam family "SAM riboswitch aptamer (S box leader)". Rfam says of the family: The SAM riboswitch is found upstream of a number of genes which code for proteins involved in methionine or cysteine biosynthesis in Gram-positive bacteria. The SAM riboswitch acts at the level of transcription termination control. The record is from RNAcentral. Lineage: Bacteria; Bacillati; Bacillota; Clostridia; Eubacteriales; Oscillospiraceae.